AUCAGUUUGGUUUGCUUGCAAACCAAAGCUGGCGACCGGCGCACGGGUGAGUAACACGUAUCCAACCUGCCUCAUACUCGGGGAUAGCCUUUCGAAAGAAAGAUUAAUAUCCGAUAGCAUAUAUUUCCCGCAUGGGUUUUAUAUUAAAGAAAUUCGGUAUGAGAUGGGGAUGCGUUCCAUUAGUUUGUUGGCGGGGUAACGGCCCACCAAGACUACGAUGGAUAGGGGUUCUGAGAGGAAGGUCCCCCACAUUGGAACUGAGACACGGUCCAAACUCCUACGGGAGGCAGCAGUGAGGAAUAUUGGUCAAUGGACGCGAGUCUGAACCAGCCAAGUAGCGUGAAGGAUGACUGCCCUAUGGGUUGUAAACUUCUUUUAUAUGGGAAUAAAGUGGUCCACGUGUGGAUUUUUGUAUGUACCAUAUGAAUAAGGAUCGGCUAACUCCGUGCCAGCAGCCGCGGUAAUACGGAGGAUCCGAGCGUUAUCCGGAUUUAUUGGGUUUAAAGGGAGCGUAGGCGGAUUGUUAAGUCAGUUGUGAAAGUUUGCGGCUCAACCGUAAAAUUGCAGUUGAUACUGGCAGUCUUGAGUGCAGUAGAGGUGGGCGGAAUUCGUGGUGUAGCGGUGAAAUGCUUAGAUAUCACGAAGAACUCCGAUUGCGAAGGCAGCUCACUGGAGUGUAACUGACGCUGAUGCUCGAAAGUGUGGGUAUCAAAC
RNAcentral lists this ribosomal RNA (714 nucleotides) under uncultured Bacteroidales bacterium. RNAcentral describes it as "bacterial SSU rRNA". It matches the Rfam family "Bacterial small subunit ribosomal RNA", at positions 65 to 773 of the family's 1533-position model. Lineage: Bacteria; Pseudomonadati; Bacteroidota; Bacteroidia; Bacteroidales. The record is from RNAcentral.